CCCAUUUAAGAGCUGACUAUCAGUGGGAAAGGAUCUCAUCUGGAGAUCCCUCCUCUGGAGUUCUGCAGUAAGCCCAGGAUGCAGAGCUUCUGCCUCUGAGCCUGUCAAACCUGACUUUGAGAAAAAUCUCUUGUCAACUGGGAGGGCAUUGUAGGGGAGUGGAAAUGCACAGAUGUGUGUUUGUGGAGAUGAUGGCAGAAGUCCUCAUCUGCAAGAAGGCCAAAGUGCACCUCCUGUCUGUCUUAAUAUUUCACUGGAGACCAAAUAUACAGCAACAACAGAAUCAGUAGCAACUAUAUCAAAGCAGAAAAUGUGCUGUAAAACAGAAACAAAUUAAAAACAAAGAAACAAGAGAAACCAACAGAAACCACCAUCACCUCAAGAAGUACCUUUCUCAUUUGAUUUUGAGAAACAAAAGACCAACCAUUUUCUCUUCCAUUCAAAUACUGCUCUGGAUAUAAUGCAAAAUUUGAAUAGAAGAACAAUUUCAUCUUCCAGGAUACUUCAUUGCACUGUGCCAGAUUUUAUAGUGAUAUCUGGAGAAGACACACAGAAAACACUCAGUAUAGUACUGAUUCUGUCCAGACCAUAUGGCCUUCUCAAGGGUAGAAUCCUCUUAAAAUAUAGUGAAGAAACACCAGAGACAUCAGAGAAACUUCUCAGUAUAUAUGGGUAAAAUCUCAUUGAAACUUCUGCCAAUUAAUCCCAAAUCCAUAAUCUGAUCUCAGGUACCUAAUAAUGAAAUUACUGACUGCAAAGGAAAUGCUAAGUCACGGCUUGAACCAGUGAUUGAGCACCUGAUGGCAAGGCAGGGCCAACCCAGGGGAGCUCAGGUGUGUGCAAUGUACCUGAGUGACCAGAAGGGGUGGAGCCAGGAUCCACCCCAUCCCAGGCCUCACUUAAGGGUUGGCAGUGGAGGCAAGGGUAUCUUACUGGAGAGGUCUGCUUACCUGAGGCCUUCUAAAGUUUGCAGCAGAAGAGUGAAAGUCAAGAGCAAUGAGCACGUGACCAGAGCUGGGUCUUUUUAAGUUCAUCCCAAACUGGUGCAUGGGAAUUUGAGUCUUUAACUGCCAAGUUGAAGAUCUCCCUCAGAUUCACCUUUCAAGAGCAUCUGGCAGAGCUGAGAUCCAUCUACAGGACUCUGAAAACACAAGAAGCCCUCUAGGACAAUCAGUCCUUCUCAGUGCUGGUAGAGAAGCCCAUCGCUGCAUAUUUUCCAAAGGUAUAUUUAACCCAAUUCUGAAAGAGGAGGACAGUAAACCAGCCCAUCAUUCCUUGCUGUCAAUUCACUGACUAUCAGCCAACUGUCACAGGCUGCACCUGCAUCUCCUCACCUCAGUGAAGACUCACUCAUUGUGAAACCACUAACUGGAUCACAUUCUUCCUCCACAAUGAGGUCACAGGAUUUUAGAAGACAGAGGAAGGUUUAAGGUUAACCAAGAAGUUUACAAAUAAUGAGGCAGUCCAGUGAAAAGACACUCUGGCCUCCUAUAAGUGGGGGACAUUGAAGAUCAGGCUCCUGCGUGGGUAGCUGGGAAUACCCCACUGAAGACGUGCUGUCCCAGUGUGGGGAUGAACAGGCUCAAGCUGCGGGUUGUCUCCUGCACAGCUCUCAGAGCCAUCUGCUCUGAAUUAGACGGGAUUAAAGGCACAGCGUGGGCAAAUCCCUUCUGUCUGUUUGUGCAACACAGGUUUAUCCCAUGUGAAAUAAGGCUUAGAGGCAAGGGCUGCCUUUCUCACAUGCAAGGGAAGGUAGUUAACAACCAGAGCUUCUAAUGCUAGAUAAAAGAACACAACCCUGUAAGUGAGAUAUGGCACUUCAGCGGGUCUUUGUUUUGAUAGCCUCUGUACAGAACAAAACAAGACAGAGCAGGCAGCAAAGGCUCCAUGUGAGAUUCUCUGCAGGCAAAGAAAGUCACAGGCAGGAAAAAUACAAUCCAUACAAAUAGCACUGGAUUCACAAUCACUCUGUGGAGUGAAAAGGUAUGCAAGGGGAACAGGGAAAUCUGAGAUCAUCAC
This is a long non-coding RNA of Tympanuchus pallidicinctus (lesser prairie-chicken), 2019 nucleotides long. RefSeq lists it as uncharacterized. The transcript is spliced from 5 exons. NCBI's taxonomy places the organism in Eukaryota, Metazoa, Chordata, Aves, Galliformes, Phasianidae. The record is from RefSeq and is a predicted model, not a curated record.